This 253-nucleotide ribosomal RNA is filed under the name uncultured bacterium. Its description in RNAcentral is "partial 16S ribosomal RNA". It matches the Rfam family "Bacterial small subunit ribosomal RNA", at positions 524 to 776 of the family's 1533-position model. The record is from RNAcentral.
UACGUAGGGGGCUAGCGUUGUCCGGAUUUAUUGGGCGUAAGGAGCGUGUAGGCGGCCAAGUAGGUCCGGUGUGAAAACUCGAGGCUUAACCUCGAGAUGUCAUCGGAAACCAUUUGGCUAGAGUCCGGAAGAGGGGGGUGGAAUUCCAGGUGUAGCAGUGAAAUGCGUAGAGAUGUGGAGGAACACCGAUGGCGAAGGCAGCCUUCUGGGCCAAUACUGACGCUCAUGCACGAAAGCGUGGGGAGCAAACAGG